Molecule: RNase P RNA, 414 nt
Filed under: Niabella sp.
Lineage: Bacteria; Pseudomonadati; Bacteroidota; Chitinophagia; Chitinophagales; Chitinophagaceae
Description: RNase P RNA component class A
Rfam family: Bacterial RNase P class A
About the family: Ribonuclease P (RNase P) is a ubiquitous endoribonuclease, found in archaea, bacteria and eukarya as well as chloroplasts and mitochondria.
Source: RNAcentral
GUUACAAGCCGGGUUAUCGUUCCCGCCCCGGCGGGAAAGGAAAGUCCGGACAGCGCAGGGCAAUGCACCGGUGAACAGCCGGGUGUUCUGUUUCGGCAGAGCAACAGAUAGUGCCACAGAAAAUAACUGUCCAGUCGCAAGGCAGGAUGAGGGUGAAAAUGUGAGGUAAGAGCUCACGGUGUUCUGUAGUAAUACAGAAUGCGGGUAAACCUUGUAUGCUGAAAUGCCAUGUAAAUCCUGCUUUUAACCAGGCAGCUGGUAAAAGGUGAGCGGCCCGUUCACUAUUUCGCCCCGGCGGGAUGGCAGGAAGGGUAGGCAGAUUGAUUCAUUGAGGUAACUCUUUGAACAGAUAAAUGAUAACCGCCCCCGCCCGUGGCGGGGGUACAGAAUCCGGCUUACAGGCUUGUAACAUUU